This 253-nucleotide ribosomal RNA is filed under the name uncultured bacterium. RNAcentral describes it as "partial 16S ribosomal RNA". It matches the Rfam family "Bacterial small subunit ribosomal RNA", at positions 524 to 776 of the family's 1533-position model. The record is from RNAcentral.
UACAGAGACUGCAAGCGUUAUUCGGAUUCACUGGGCGUAAAGGGUGCGCAGGCGGCCAAGUGUGUCAGGUGUGAAAUCCCGAGGCUUAACCUCGGAACUGCGCCUGAAACUACUUGGCUAGAGUACUGGAGAGGGUAACGGAAUUCACGGUGUAGCGGUGAAAUGCGUAGAUAUCUGGAGGAACACCGGUGGCGAAGGCGGCGUCCUGGACCAACACUGACACUGAUGAGCGAAAGCCAGGGGAGCAAACGGG